GCCAAAGUUAGCGUUCAUAUUUGUAUGUGUGUGAAAAAAGUAAAAAACUAAAUUGAAUGCUAAUUUUGGCCAGUGUUUGUGACUAAGUGGCUACUAAAAGAGACUGGACAUACCCCAUUUGCAAUACCUUGGGUUGUCUAAUAUUGCAAAUGGUAUGCCAUCAUGGGGGUAAUUCUCAUUCCUGGGCUACCAUACGCUUUCAAAGGCAACGUAACCAACCUGGCCAUUUUCAAUGUAAAAAUAUUUGACCCUGUAACUUUCAAAAACGCUAUAAAAC
Molecule: non-coding RNA, 277 nt
Organism: Pelobates cultripes (western spadefoot toad)
Lineage: Eukaryota; Metazoa; Chordata; Amphibia; Anura; Pelobatidae
Source: the annotation of a GenBank genome assembly